Long non-coding RNA from Vicia villosa (hairy vetch), 1920 nucleotides. RefSeq lists it as uncharacterized. The transcript is spliced from 8 exons. The record is from RefSeq and is a predicted model, not a curated record. NCBI's taxonomy places the organism in Eukaryota, Viridiplantae, Streptophyta, Magnoliopsida, Fabales, Fabaceae.
UUCACUCUUCAUCUCCACAAACCAGUUGAACGUUGAGCCUUAUCGUUAUUUUCAAUGGCAUUGUCACAAUUUCGUUCUUCUCUCAAAUUCGGUAACCCAUUUCCAAUGGCAACACUCUCUUCCUUCACCAUCUCCUCCAAAAUCCUUACCCCACCUAACCACCCCAAAACCUCAUCUCUCAAUUUCAACAACCUCUCCAUUCGUACCAAAAUCUGUACCCGAAACCCUAUCCAAAUUCGCGCGGCGGCCAAGGAAGAUUUCUCUUCCAACAAAAGCGGAAGCAAUGAGCAGAAGGAAACGAUUAUGCUUCCCGGUUGUGACUACAACCAUUGACACUUACCUUCAAACUCUUGCUACUGUCUUGGGAAGUUUAGCUUUUGGAAGAAAAAUGCAGAAUUUGUCCUCGCUCGCAAGGUGUUCGAUGAAAUGUCCCAACCGAAUUCCUUUUGUGGCGAAGUUAGCGGUGAGAGAGGAAUUUGAUUUAGUUGAUGUUAAUGGCUCAAUAUACUUAAUCUUGACACUAGGAAUUUGAUUCAUUGGCCAAACGGUCAGGUUCUGAGUGGAGAACUAGACUCACAUUGCUGCACCUAUCCUAUUCUUUACAAUGUAAUAUACAUGGAGGUAAUCCUUAAGCAUAGAGAUCUUAAGGAGGAGUGGGUGUGGUUGCUAGAAAGGCUGGAUUAUUUUCCCAACCUUCGAAAUCUUACCAUUAUCGAGGUUUUGUACUGUCUACCAAUCUCUUUUUGUUUUUACUUCAUUUUUUGUUUAUCUAUUUUAUCUUAUAAAAAGUAUGUGAAUCACAAGACAAUGGGAAUGGAGACGAAAUUGUGUAUAAUUGGAGGGAACAAACAUCUACUCCGGAAUGUCUUUCAACACAGCUUAGAACAUGUUUGAUUAAACAAUUUACAUACACAGAAUGUGGUCUUCAAUUUGCUGAAUAUAUUUUGAGGAAUUCAAAGGUAUUGGACACAAUGUCAAUCAAGAGUGCUUCAUUCAUAAAUGAAAAUGUCAAGCACCAAAUGUUAAUGAUAUUAGCUUCGGAGGAAUUCAAAGCCGCUUUUUCCUGGUGAGUGGUGUAGACCAACUUGUGGAAAUUAUCAAGUGCUAUUUGGUUGGAUUCCAUUAGCAUGGAGACUUGAAAGCAAAAUUCAGAUUCCAUUAGCUUGCAAGAGUGAGUACGCAUUACCAAAGAGGAAUACUUAGAGUCAAAACAGAAAGUAGAAGAAAAGCCCAAGAUUCUCAUUCCAGCUCUUCAUCAAAUUGACAAGGGAUUUGGCUGAAGAAAGAUAGGAUGCAACUGGAUGCAACUUUAUUAUAUUAAUUAGAAAGGCAAUAAAUAUAUAAUGAUAAACAUGUUCCAUGUAUAUAGUUUCAUCAUAUUUGUUAUAAAGGGAUAUAGACAAUUCAGGUGUAAUUCUGUUAUAUUAUGCUAAUCAAACUAUAGUAGAAAUCUGUUUGGGUGCUAUAGAGAAAUGAGUAUUAUUAUUGGUCAGUGUUCUCGUUUUCUUUCUAAUGGGUUGAUGAUGACUUUACAUUGCCAUGUGGAGUUUGCUCAAUUUUGUAUGAUUCCAUCUUGGAAUCAGUACUAGAGUUUGUUAUCAGCACAUACCGAUAUAAGUCUUCGCAGGCACAAAUUAUUACUGAUAUUAUGAGCCACUUUUUAAUUGUCAUGCUUUCAACAUUUAAGUUUCUUGUUAGUUGGUAGUAACUAUAACACUGAUUGCUUUUCCUUCUCCUCAAGAAUUUUGUAGUGUAUGUUGAAUUUACGAUUUUAUGAUGUUGAAGUUGAAAUUAACUGAACAGAGGAACCUUGGCAGCUUCAGAGAGAAUCCACAUUGACAGCCAAAGCAUCAGGUAAAAGUACUUCCCUAGGAUUGGAAGAUCUUCAACCAGAUAGCAUGAUUGAGGCAUUUCAACUAG